CCUCGGCGGGAUCUCUGCCCCGGGUGCGUCGCAGCCCCGGACCAAGGCGCCCGCCGGAGGACCAACCAAAACUCUUAUUGUAUACCCCCUCGCGGGUUUUUUUAUAAUCUGAGCCUUCUCGGCGCCUCUCGUAGGCGUUUCGAAAAUGAAUCAAAACUUUCAACAACGGAUCUCUUGGUUCUGGCAUCGAUGAAGAACGCAGCGAAAUGCGAUAAGUAAUGUGAAUUGCAGAAUUCAGUGAAUCAUCGAAUCUUUGAACGCACAUUGCGCCCGCCAGUAUUCUGGCGGGCAUGCCUGUCCGAGCGUCAUUUCAACCCUCGAACCCCUCCGGGGGGUCGGCGUUGGGGAUCGGCCCUGCCUUGGCGGUGGCCGUCUCCGAAAUACAGUGGCGGUCUCGCCGCAGCCUCUCCUGCGCAGUAGUUUGCACACUCGCAUCGGGAGCGCGGCGCGUCCACAGCCGUUAAACACCCAACUUCUGAAAUGUUGACCUCGGAUCAGGUAGGAAUACCCGCUGAACUUAAGCAUAUCAAAAGCCGGGAGGAAAA
RNAcentral lists this ribosomal RNA (545 nucleotides) under Trichoderma harzianum. RNAcentral's name for it is "eukaryotic LSU rRNA". The stretch from base 155 to 308 matches the Rfam family "5.8S ribosomal RNA". Lineage: Eukaryota; Fungi; Ascomycota; Sordariomycetes; Hypocreales; Hypocreaceae. The record is from RNAcentral.